GUCGCGAUCAGAACAGCCAAACACAACAAUGUAAAUAAAGUGAAUUUGUACGAAAGUUAUUUUGAUUCGCGAGUGAUUUCGGCCAGAUUUUGUUCUAGUAGGAGCAGGAGCGCAGAUCGCAAUAAGUCAAUAAUGACGUUGUUGAAAAGAGUGGCAUGCGUGUAUUCAUAGCCGCCGUCUCCCGCGCUUCACACGAAAAUUGGCCGUGAUUGUCCGGCAAUGCGCUCGAUAAGUUUUUUGCUCGCGGAACCGAUGCCAAAAGUGAAUCGCGGUGAUGCGAUUGUCCGUCGCGAUUGAUUCCAACGUCACCACCAGCCGAGCGGAUCCGACACCCACUAAUUCCCAAAUCGGAGAAAGUUACCGGAAUACAUCUGCCAUAGCAAACACGCACAAAACGCAGGAACAAGUAGACAGAAAAUGUAGUUCCCUGCGCAUGUAAAUUCACGGCCACAACACGACUCACACUGUCGGAACGGAACGGUUUGGCAAAACGGCCAAGUGGCGCACAUCACUAAGAAUAGUCCGGAGGUUACCUGCAGUAUGUGCAAGUAGGAAAUGAUCGAGGAAGGAAGGAAGGAAUGGUAUCCCUCUACCGAAUACCUGCGCUGGCAGGUUGCAGCCCCUAGGAGCUGAUGACGACAAAUGUUCAUGGACAUCUUCGCGACCUGCAAUGGAGCCAUGGCCUCUUCACAGUAUCAACUAAAAGCUAUCUUGUGCUAUUGUUAUUUAGGCAUCCAUGCGAUGUGACCAUCCUAGUACGUUAUGCCGUGUUUUAUCAGAAUUACAAUAUCUACCUGUUAUUAUGCUUAACAAGAUUGAAAAAAAAAACAAGACGAGGUGUACACAUGAAUAAAUUACUUUUUACUUAAUUUAA
Aedes albopictus (Asian tiger mosquito) is the source of this 874-nucleotide long non-coding RNA. RefSeq lists it as uncharacterized. The transcript has 2 exons. The record is from RefSeq and is a predicted model, not a curated record. Lineage: Eukaryota; Metazoa; Arthropoda; Insecta; Diptera; Culicidae.